Long non-coding RNA from Ictalurus furcatus (blue catfish), 1321 nucleotides. RefSeq lists it as uncharacterized. The record is from RefSeq and is a predicted model, not a curated record. NCBI's taxonomy places the organism in Eukaryota, Metazoa, Chordata, Actinopteri, Siluriformes, Ictaluridae. The transcript has 3 exons.
GCUCUCUGAAUUAUACCCAAAGUUGAAGGACGUCCCUGGUGGUUGGCUGUUUUAAGAAUUGGAGGCAGGUGGUUGGGGACAUAGAAGACUUGUGGUGGCCCCUGCAGACUGUGGCUAUACAGGAAGGAUACUAAAAUUGUCAAGAACAAAAGAAAAUACUGUUAUGUAUGCAACUCCACUCCAGGAGGAGUUUGACACCACUCCAUUGCCACCAACAUCUGAGGCCUUCCGCAACAUGCCAAAGGCAAUAUGUUUUUUUUUUAAAAAAAUAAUAAUAAAAAAUAAAUAAAUAAAUAGCGCAACCCAUCCUAUCCUCUUCAAGUUCUUCCUGACCCCAUCAGCUCAUGCUCUGUUAUUGUGGAUGACGCCGAACCAGGCAAGAGUGAACAGGUAAUCUUUAUUUUAUCAAGAAAGAAGAACUGGGCUACAGUGAACAAGUAAUCUUACUUGAUACCAGUUUGGAGUUGUGUACAAUUGAACUGUCACUAUAUAUUUGACUAGUUUGUUGGUGCUGUAUGUCAAGAACCAUAUGGUCCACUUUGUUUUCAUGAGUACACUCCCAGCCACCAGUUGAAGAAUGCAUGUAAUUUUGGAAAUACAAGGGGGGGCAGGGGGAGUGUGUGUGUGUAUAUAUAAAUUUUGCAUUUCAACAUUGUCUUCAUUACAUUUGUAUCCAUAUCUAUUUCAUAUUUUUUGUAUUAAUGUGUCAUACAUCAUAGGCUUGCUGUCCUAUAUGCCAGGAAGAAAUGGCCCUUGUCUUGGAAAUUCAUGCCAGCAUAUGUGAGGAAGGGUAAUCAAGAUGGAUAAAAUAUGAUAUUUUUAAAAUGUGCCAUGUCUUAUAUGCGUGGGUUUUCUUUUACACUGUAGAACAGUCAGUUACACAAUGAACACCACAAUUGAAGUGCUGUGUGUGAAUAAUGGUAAUUACAAUUGCUGCUUCUUUUUGUACUUGACCAAUGCCAGUGGAUAACUGUUGGGUGACAUUUGAGUGCAUUUCAUCCACCUCUGCCACACUUAAAAUCUGUGCUUUCUGCCCAUCUAGAUUGGAAGACCCACCCUGAUCCCAAAGUGGCUGUGUCCUUGUACACCCAGGAAAUUCUUUGUCUCCAUGAGAUUGGGAAGCCGCUUCUGAGGUACACGGACCUCAGAUCAGGUGUUCAAGGACAAGAGAGAACUUAUAAACCUCUAGAAGCACAAAGAUGUGGAGUGGGCAUGCCCCCUUAGAUGCCAAUUGCAAGGGGACACUGCAAUUGGUGAUUGUGUUACUAGGCACUUUUUUCCCCCCACAAUUCUUCACUAACUGAAGUAUGGUUUCAUUUUG